UGGGGAAUAUUGCACAAUGGGCGCAAGCCUGAUGCAGCCAUGCCGCGUGUGUGAAGAAGGCCUUCGGGUUGUAAAGCACUUUCAGCGAGGAGGAAGGUGGUGGACUUAAUACGUUCAUCAAUUGACGUUACUCGCAGAAGAAGCACCGGCUAACUCCGUGCCAGCAGCCGCGGUAAUACGGAGGGUGCAAGCGUUAAUCGGAAUUACUGGGCGUAAAGCGCACGCAGGCGGUUUGUUAAGUCAGAUGUGAAAUCCCCGGGCUCAACCUGGGAACUGCAUUUGAAACUGGCAAGCUAGAGUNCGUAGAGGGGGGUGAGAAUUCCAGGUGUAGCGGUGAAAUGCGUAGAGGAUCUGGAGGAAUACCGGUGGCGUAGGCGGCCCCCCUGGACGAAGACUGACGCUCAGGUGCGAAAGCGUGGGGAGCAAAACAGGAUUAGAUACCCUGGUAGUCCACGCUGUAAAACGAUGUCGAUUUGGAGGUUGUGCCCUUGAGGCGUGGCUUCCGGAGCUAACGCGUUAAAUCGACCGCCUGGGGAGUACGGCCGCAAGGUUAAAAACUC
Molecule: ribosomal RNA, 560 nt
Filed under: uncultured bacterium
Lineage: Bacteria
Description: partial 16S ribosomal RNA
Rfam family: Bacterial small subunit ribosomal RNA
Source: RNAcentral